GGCGGGCGUGCCUAAUACAUGCAAGUCGAGCGAAGCGAAGGGAGCUUGCUCCCUGAGAUUAGCGGCGGACGGGUGAGUAACACGUGGGCAACCUGCCUAUAAGACUGGGAUAACUUCGGGAAACCGGAGCUAAUACCGGAUACGUUCUUUUCUCGCAUGAGAGAAGAUGGAAAGACGGUUUACGCUGUCACUUAUAGAUGGGCCCGCGGCGCAUUAGCUAGUUGGUGAGGUAAUGGCUCACCAAGGCGACGAUGCGUAGCCGACCUGAGAGGGUGAUCGGCCACACUGGGACUGAGACACGGCCCAGACUCCUACGGGAGGCAGCAGUAGGGAAUCUUCCGCAAUGGACGAAAGUCUGACGGAGCAACGCCGCGUGAACGAAGAAGGCCUUCGGGUCGUAAAGUUCUGUUGUUAGGGAAGAACAAGUACCAGAGUAACUGCUGGUACCUUGACGGUACCUAACCAGAAAGCCACGGCUAACUACGUGCCAGCAGCCGCGGUAAUACGUAGGUGGCAAGCGUUGUCCGGAAUUAUUGGGCGUAAAGCGCGCGCAGGUGGUUCCUUAAGUCUGAUGUGAAAGCCCACGGCUCAACCGUGGAGGGUCAUUGGAAACUGGGGAACUUGAGUGCAGAAGAGGAAAGUGGAAUUCCAAGUGUAGCGGUGAAAUGCGUAGAGAUUUGGAGGAACACCAGUGGCGAAGGCGACUUUC
This 709-nucleotide ribosomal RNA is filed under the name Peribacillus sp. Its description in RNAcentral is "bacterial SSU rRNA". It matches the Rfam family "Bacterial small subunit ribosomal RNA", at positions 38 to 729 of the family's 1533-position model. The record is from RNAcentral. Lineage: Bacteria; Bacillati; Bacillota; Bacilli; Caryophanales; Bacillaceae.